AGAGUUUGAUCAUGGCUCAGAUUGAACGCUGGCGGCAUGCUUUACACAUGCAAGUCGAGCGGCAGCGCGGGGGCAACCCUGGCGGCGAGCGGCGAACGGGUGAGUAACGCAUCGGAACGUAUCCUGUAGUGGGGAAUAACUCAUCGAAAGGUGAGCUAAUACCGCAUAAGCUCUGAGGAGGAAAGCGGGGGGACCGAAAGGCCUCGCGCUGCAGGAGCGGCCGAUGUCCGAUUAGCUAGUUGGUGAGGUAAAGGCUCACCAAGGCGACGAUCGGUAGCUGGUCUGAGAGGAUGAUCAGCCACACUGGGACUGAGACACGGCCCAGACUCCUACGGGAGGCAGCAGUGGGGAAUAUUGGACAAUGGGCGAAAGCCUGAUCCAGCAAUGCCGCGUGAGUGAUGAAGGCCUUAGGGUUGUAAAGCUCUUUACCCGAGAUGAUAAUGACAGUAUCGGGAGAAUAAGCUCCGGCUAACUCCGUG
This 479-nucleotide ribosomal RNA is filed under the name uncultured bacterium. RNAcentral's name for it is "bacterial SSU rRNA". It matches the Rfam family "Bacterial small subunit ribosomal RNA", at positions 8 to 507 of the family's 1533-position model. The record is from RNAcentral.